UGUGAUGUGGCUCAGUUGGUAGAGCGCUUGCCCUGCAUGCAUGGGGUCCUGGGUUCCAUUCUCGGUGCUACAU
Molecule: transfer RNA, 73 nt
Filed under: Rattus norvegicus (Norway rat)
Lineage: Eukaryota; Metazoa; Chordata; Mammalia; Rodentia; Muridae
Rfam family: tRNA
About the family: Transfer RNA (tRNA) molecules are approximately 80 nucleotides in length. Their secondary structure includes four short double-helical elements and three loops (D, anti-codon, and T loops).
Source: Rfam by way of RNAcentral